RNAcentral lists this ribosomal RNA (1472 nucleotides) under Candidatus Woesearchaeota archaeon. RNAcentral's name for it is "bacterial SSU rRNA". It matches the Rfam family "Archaeal small subunit ribosomal RNA". Lineage: Archaea; Nanobdellati; Candidatus Woesearchaeota. The record is from RNAcentral.
AUUCCCGUUGAUCCUGCGGGAGAUCGCUGCUAUGGGGGUUCGUUAAGCCAUGCAAGUCAAGGGGCUCUUUUGAGCACCGGCGAACGGCUCAGUAACACGUCAAUAAUCUGCCCUUUGAUUCGGGAUAACCAUGGGAAACUGUGGCUAAUACUGGAUAGGGAAAGGAUACUGGAAGGUUCCUUUCUUCAAAGCUUUUGCGUCAAAGGAUGAGUUGGCGGCUGAUUAGCUUGUUGGUGAGGUAAAGGCUCACCAAGGCUAUGAUCAGUAGGGGGGAUGAGAGUCCACGCCUCGAGAAGGGCACUGAGAUAAGGGCCCUAGCCCUAAGGGGUGCAGCAGGCUAGAAUCCUUUACAAUGCGCGCAAGCGUGAUAGGGGGACCCCCAGUGCUCACCACAUGGUGGGCUUUUGCCAAAUGUAAAUAGUUUGGCGAAUAAGUGAUGGGCAAGACCGGUGCCAGCCGCCGCGGUAACACCGGCGUCACAAGUGGCGAUCGCAUUUACUGGGUCUAAAGCAUCCGUAGCCGACAAUGUAAGUCUUUUGUGAAAUCGCUGGGCUUAACCUAGCGACGUGCAUAAGAUACUGUACUGUUAGGGACCGGGAGGAGACAGAGGUAUUCCUUGGGAAGCGGUAAAAUGUUCUAAUCCUUGGAGGACCACCUGUGGCGAAGGCGUCUGUCUAGAACGGGUCUGACGGUGAGGGAUGAAAGCUGGGGGAGCGAACUGGAUUAGAUACCCAAGUAGUCCCAGCUGUAAACGCUGCCAACUAUGUGUUGCAUGUUCUUCGGGAACAUGCAGUGCCGUAGCGAAGGUGUUAAGUUGGCCACCUGGGAAGUACGGUCGCAAGGCUGAAACUUAAAGGAAUUGGCGGGGGCGCACUACAAGGGGUGCGGCGUGCGGUUUAAUUUAACUCCACACAGAGAAUCUCACCAGGAGCGACGGCAGGAUGAAGGUCAGAUUAAAGGUCUUACCUAACGAGCCGAGAGAUGGUGCAUGGCCGCCGUCAGUUCGUGCCGUAAGGUGUGCUGUUAAGUCAGUUAACGAACAAGAUCUGCAUCUACAUUUGCUAGCGAGUCCUUUUGGAUGAUCGUGCACACUGUAGAGACUGCCCGCGUAAGUGGGAGGAAGGUGUAGGCUACGGUAGGUCUGUAUGCCUCGAAUCUUCUGGGCUACACGCGCGCAACAAUGGCAGGGACAAUGGGCUGCAACCCCGAGAGGGGAAGCCAAUCCUCUAAACCCUGUCCUAGUUCAGAUUGAGGGCUGUAACUCGCCCUCAUGACGCCGGAAUCCCUAGUAAUCGCUUGUCAACAGCGAGCGGUGAAUAUGUCCCUGUGCCUUGCACACACCGCCCGUCAAACCAACCGAGCAGGGUCUAGGUGAGGUUUAAUCCUUAAGGUUAAAACGAACCUAGGUUCAGCAAGGUGGGUUAAGUCGUCACAAGGUAGCUGUAGGGGAACCUGCAGCUGGAUCACCUCCU